GGAGGAUAUUAGACUUUCUUAAUGUUCCAUUCAGUCCCCAGCAAUUUUCGAACACGAGGUUCGAAAAAGGCUUCCACCCGCCAGGAGGGCGGAUUGGAAGCCGGUUGCGUCACUUGUCAGUACCCUUUUCCAUGGAACAUUUAGAAAGCCUUAUAUCCGCA
This 161-nucleotide non-coding RNA is filed under the name pig gut metagenome. The record is from RNAcentral.